GACGAACGCUGGCGGCGUGCUUAACACAUGCAAGUCGAACGGAAAGGCCCUGCUUUUGUGGGGUGCUCGAGUGGCGAACGGGUGAGUAACACGUGAGUAACCUGCACUUGACUUUGGGAUAACUUCAGGAAACUGGGGCUAAUACCGGAUAGGAGCUUCUGCUGCCUGGUGGGGGUUGGAAAGUUUCGGCGGAUGGGGAUGGACUCGCGGCUUAUCAGCUUGUUGGUGGGGUAGUGGCUUACCAAGGCUUUGAUGGGUAGCCGGCCUGAGAGGGUGACCGGCCACAUUGGGACAGAGAUACGGCCCGGACUCCUACGGGAGGCAGCAGUGGGGAAUAUUGCACGAUGGGCGCAAGCCUGAUGCAGCAACGCCGCGUUCGGGAUGACGGCCUUCGGGUUGUAAGCCGCUUUCGCCUGUGACGAAGCGUGAGUGACGGUAAUGGGUAAAGAAGCACCGGCUAACUACGUG
This 468-nucleotide ribosomal RNA is filed under the name uncultured bacterium. Its description in RNAcentral is "partial 16S ribosomal RNA". It matches the Rfam family "Bacterial small subunit ribosomal RNA", at positions 28 to 507 of the family's 1533-position model. The record is from RNAcentral.